UUAAAUUGAAGAGUUUGAUCAUGGCUCAGAUUGAACGCUGGCGGCAGGCCUAACACAUGCAAGUCGAACGGUAACAGGAAGCAGCUUGCUGCUUUGCUGACGAGUGGCGGACGGGUGAGUAAUGUCUGGGAAACUGCCUGAUGGAGGGGGAUAACUACUGGAAACGGUGG
Molecule: ribosomal RNA, 170 nt
Filed under: Salmonella enterica subsp. enterica serovar Kentucky
Lineage: Bacteria; Pseudomonadati; Pseudomonadota; Gammaproteobacteria; Enterobacterales; Enterobacteriaceae
Description: partial 16S ribosomal RNA
Rfam family: Bacterial small subunit ribosomal RNA
Source: RNAcentral